CCUGAGAAACCCAAAAGAUCGAAUGGGGAGAUUCAUCGUCAGCACGUUUGGUAUAUGUGCAAGUUAUGAUGCGAGUUAUCAUUUAUGAUAAUGCUUGUACGUGCUUGUAUUAUUUUGUCGCUAAACGUUGUCGUCGUGCACUUCUCCCCUAGUAGGACGUCGCGACCCGUUGGGUGUCGGUCUAUGGCCCGGAUGGUAGUCUUUAAUUAUUUUAAUUGAAGACCGCCGGUUGACCUGAUCGGCUGCUCGGCGGUAUUCGCACGGUCGUUGCAAGCGAGGCCAGUAAUUUAAACUCGGUAGUGCGGAUUUAAUGCCGUCGCUGGGGCUGGCCAGCUGUUGGUUAACGGUGUUCUUUGACUGGCUCAAAAUAAUUACCGGUCGGCGACGCUACUGCUUUGGGUACUUUCAGGACCCGUCUUGAAACACGGACCAAGGAGUCUAACAUGUGCGCGAGUCAUUGGGAUUUAUUUUUUAAAUUAAACCUAAAGGCGCAAUGAAAGUAAAGGUCGUCCUUGUGUCGACUGAGGGAGGAUGAGUUGCAUUAUGAUGUCAGCUCCGCACUCCCGGGGCGUCUCAUUCUCAUUUUUGAGGAGAGGCGCACCCAG
RNAcentral lists this ribosomal RNA (605 nucleotides) under Mannokeraia gibsoni. Its description in RNAcentral is "eukaryotic LSU rRNA". It matches the Rfam family "Eukaryotic large subunit ribosomal RNA", at positions 420 to 798 of the family's 3401-position model. The record is from RNAcentral. Lineage: Eukaryota; Metazoa; Arthropoda; Insecta; Hymenoptera; Braconidae.